Molecule: ribosomal RNA, 496 nt
Filed under: Calligrapha felina
Lineage: Eukaryota; Metazoa; Arthropoda; Insecta; Coleoptera; Chrysomelidae
Description: partial 16S ribosomal RNA
Source: RNAcentral
GUYUUUUUGUUAAAAAUUUAAAGUCGGGCCUGCCCCCUGAAAUUUUAAAUGGCCGUGGUAUUUUGACCGUGCUAAGGUAGCAUAAUCAUUAGUUUUUUAAUUGAAAGCUGGAAUGAAGGGUUUGAUAAAAAAAUAACUGUCUCUAUUUAAUUUUAUUAAAAUUUUAUUUUUAAGUUCAAAAGCUUAAAUUAGAUUAAAAGACGAGAAGACCCUAUAGAGUUUAAUAAUAUAAAAUAAUUUUUAUUUUUGAAUUAAAUUAUUUAUUUUUUUAUAUUAUUUAGUUGGGGUGAUUAAAAAAUUUAAUUAACUUUUUUUAUAUUUUACCMUUAAUUUAUGAUUAUUUGAUCCAAUUUUUUUGAUUAUAAGAUAAAAUUACCUUAGGGAUAACAGCGUAAUUUUUUUAGAAAGUUCAAAUUUAAAAGNNNRRUUGCGACCUCGAUGUUGGAUUAAAAUUAAAUUUUGGUGUAGAAGCUAAAAAAUUAAGUCUGUUCGACUU